Serinus canaria (Common canary) is the source of this 1196-nucleotide long non-coding RNA. RefSeq lists it as uncharacterized. NCBI's taxonomy places the organism in Eukaryota, Metazoa, Chordata, Aves, Passeriformes, Fringillidae. The record is from RefSeq and is a predicted model, not a curated record. The transcript has 2 exons.
AGGGAAGCUGACCAAUGUGCCCACACCUCGCUGGCUGAGCUGGGUGGUUUGUGGCUUCCCCACGCUCAGGAAUUUUGGUCUCCCCCCAGCUCCUGUGCCAAAGAUGGUCUCCAUGGCCUCAUCUUCAUCUUCUCCCAUAAGGAUCCCUCUCCCUGGCACUGUGAGCAACAGAGAGCCUGGAUAAUCUGGUGCCCUCUCAGCGAUGGGUCCAGCACGUGGGACAGCACCAGAAUCAUCUGGAUGAGUCCCCAGGGACACAGAGCUGCUGUUGGCAGCCAGCCACCUCUUCCCCCACUGCUCCUGGGCCACGUGGACACUGCUUCUCCAAUUUCCCAGCUGAAGGGGAAGUGCCACAGCAGUGCUGGGUGCAGAGGAGCAGCCUUGUGACCAUGACACAUCUCGUGAGUCAGCUCCAGGGGAGAGCAGGAUGGGUUUGCAGGAGGAUUUCAGCUCCACGGGAGCUGGACACCAGUGGAGAGCAGGGAUUAGAUCAUGGAGACGUGAUCCCACUCUGGCUGCACUUAUUCUCCACGGUGCUGACUAAUGUGUGCUAAAGGAUCCAGCAGGAAUCCUGGCCCCAGUGUGUGCUUUUCCAUGGCGUCCCAGCCUUGUGGGCACCACCACAAAGCACCGGAGUGUCCCAGGGACUUGGCAGUGAUUUCUCAUCCUCGGUCUCCUCGCUGGACACCUUGGCCCAUUUCCCUUCCUGAGGUUCCUCACCUGCUGCCAGGGAUGUCUUUGAGACCUGCAGGUCACAGCCUCUGUGCCAUUCCCACCAGCCCUCCCUGGGGGAAAUAUCUUCUGUUCAUGGGCCAUUGAGUGAUAAAAUUCCAUCAUCCCACUGGGAGAAGCUCCGCCCAGGGGGAGGAGCCAAGCAUUCCUUCCUGGAUAUAAUCGGACAGGCGGAGCACCACAGCACCUUUCCCACUGCAUUCCCAAAGGGAGAGCAGACCAGCCUACACCACCACUGGAUCUUCAGAGGAGAACUCCACCCUUCUACAGGAUCACUGCUCCAGCAGAGCCACCCCUGUCUCUGCAGGAGGGCUGCAGCCACCAUUUAAUGGGACUGCUACCAACAGCCUGGCACACAGGGACUCAGGCCAUAUCCUGACUCUGUCACUGUUGGUUCUUGUUGUUUGUACUAUUACAUUUGUAUUCUUAUUUUUCCUACUAAAGAACUGUUAUUCCUGCUCCCA